Molecule: long non-coding RNA, 863 nt
Organism: Acromyrmex echinatior (Panamanian leafcutter ant)
Lineage: Eukaryota; Metazoa; Arthropoda; Insecta; Hymenoptera; Formicidae
Source: RefSeq, a predicted model, not a curated record
GCAACACCAUUGUGCCAUCCGCCAUUAACGUCGAAGGCAUUGUUACAUCGUGCUGUCCGCUUGUUUUUCGCCUUGAGAAUUCUUCUGGAGAGCUAUAGACGCGCUGGAACUUUAAUAAAGUUCCAUUGCGAUGAGUAAAUUGCGGAUAAACGAGGAUGAGAGUGAUGGUUUUUUAAAAAGCCGCUGUCUCUAGUAGACGGUUAGUGAGCUGGCAUUAUCGACGACAAUAGUAGCGCAAAUGAGCUUGAAAGAUAAGUGACAGUUAGACUAAAAGUAUAAAAAUGUAGAAAGACAAAAUAAUAUGUAUAUAAAUAUACUUAUAUUUUUCACUUAGAGUUAAUUAUGAAGCAAUCAAUUAUGAAGCAGUCGACAUCUGAUAUCGGCCAAUGGAUACACGUGACGUCAUUCGCCCUGACCAUCUAUUUUCGAUCUAAAGAAUCGAUCGGAGAAUCUUCGAGCGGCAGAUCGCUGGACUACUCAUCUCUCGCUUGGCAUUUCUACGACAUCAAAAAUCCGGAUUCAUCCUCGGAUUCAUUCUUCCUUCACGUGAUGUCAUUAUCCAAAAUACUAAAAUUCAUUAACCCAGGGAACACACUAGAGACGCUAUUCUGUAAUUGUUUUACACGCCUAUCGAUAGUUAUUAUUGCGCAGCUUUUUCACCAUAUAAAAUAUCUGCGCAACGAUCGGUAAGCGUGCAAAGACAAGUUACAGAAUAAUGUCCCAGUCGGGAGAAAGUCAAAAUGACUUCACUUGAUAUUAUGAAAGUUAAAAUGAUGAUUUUUUUUAUUAUGAAAUUUGAUGUUUGAUGAUGUUUAUUGAUGUUUGAUGUAAAAAUAUCAGAAUAAAAUCAUUUUAAUUUUUUA